CGAGAUUACAAUUUAAUGAAGCUCGGAGAUCCAGUUCCAGAAGAACGCCCACCGUAGAAGAAAUAACGAAGUGAUUCAAUGACAUCGAUGGCGAUUAGCAAAAUAACGUUUAUUGGAGCGUUGGUUAAACUGGUUCUGAAAAAUUCAAUUGCCUGAAGGUUGAUGCAGCUUCAAAACUGAACCGUUCUCGGUGUGAACUGCCAGUAUAUGUUGGAUAAAUAAUUGGAAAAACGCACUCUACAAGGUGUUAUUAAGCUUUUGGGGCGGCAUACUAGCAAAAAUCUUAUCAAAGAAGUGUUCAAGCUCACUACGGAAUAUGGUAUCCAAAAGUCGCAAAUCUUUUCCGUAACAGUGGAUAAUGGAGCGAACAUGAU
Molecule: long non-coding RNA, 374 nt
Organism: Armigeres subalbatus
Lineage: Eukaryota; Metazoa; Arthropoda; Insecta; Diptera; Culicidae
Exons: 3
Source: RefSeq, a predicted model, not a curated record